RNAcentral lists this ribosomal RNA (1044 nucleotides) under Lichina intermedia. RNAcentral's name for it is "SSU rRNA". It matches the Rfam family "Eukaryotic small subunit ribosomal RNA", at positions 91 to 1146 of the family's 1831-position model. The record is from RNAcentral. Lineage: Eukaryota; Fungi; Ascomycota; Lichinomycetes; Lichinales; Lichinaceae.
GAUGCUCAUAAAUCAGUUAUAGUUUAUUUGAUGGUUCCUCGCUACAUGGAUAACUGUGGUAAUUCUAGAGCUAAUACAUGCUGAAGGCCCCGACUCGCGAAGGGGCGUGUUUAUUAGACCAAAGACCAACGCCCUCCGGGGCUCGCUGGUGAAUCAUGAUAACCGCACGAAUCGCAUGGCCUUGCGCCGGCGAUGGUUCAUUCAAAUUUCUGCCCUAUCAGCUUUCGAUGGUAGGAUAGUGGCCUACCAUGGCGUCAACGGGUGACAGGCAAUUAGGGUUGGAUUCUGGAGAGGGGGCCUGAGAAAUGGCCACCACAUCCAAGGAAGGCAGCAGGCGCGCAAAUUACCCAAUCCCGACACGGGGAGGUAGUGACAAAACAUACUGAUGCAGGGCUCUUUCGGGUCUUGCAAUCGGAAUGGGUACAACCUAAAACCCUUAACGAGGAACAAUUGGAGGGCAAGUCUGGUGCCAGCAGCCGCGGUAAUUCCAGCUCCAAUAGCGUAUAUUAAAGUUGUUGCAGUUAAAAAGCUCGUAGUUGAACCUGGGGUCUGGUUGGCCGGUCCGCCUCACCGCGUGCACUGGACCGACCGGGCCUUUCCUCCCGGGGAACCGCAUGCCCUUUGCUGGGUGUGCUGGGGAUCCGGGACCUUUACCUUGAGAAAAUCAGAGUGUUCAAAGCAGGCCUAUGCUCGGAUGCGUUAGCAUGGAAUAAUAGAAUAGGACGUGCGGUCCUAUUUUGUUGGUCUCUGGGACCGCCGUAAUGAUUGAUAGGGAUGGUCGGGGGCGUCCGUAUUCCACUGUCAGAGGUGAAAUUCUUGGAUUUGUGGAAGACGAACUACUGCGAAAGCAUUCGCCAAGGAUGUUUUCAUUAAUCAGUGAACGAAAGUUAGGGGAUCGAAGACGAUCAGAUACCGUCGUAGUCUUAACCAUAAACAAUGCCGACUAGGGAUCGGGCGAUGUUACCUUUUUGACUCGCUCGGCACCUUACGAGAAAUCAAAGUGUUUGGGUUCUGGGGGGAGUAUGGUCGCAAGGCUGAAACUUA